ACGUCAUCCCCACCUUCCCCAAUCACAUUCUCAUGAGCAAACCCAUUUGUUGACUCCUCAAGCUCUCUGAGAGUAUACCAAUGUCCCCAACCCAAAUGCGAAACCUCAGGCACAACUAUGGCCAGCUGAUCACCAGACCGAGCCUCUCCACUGCCAUGCGACGACCCACCGCCGCCACCGCUACCGCCACCGCCUCGCUCCGGGUAUCUAAUCCGGUU
Molecule: unclassified non-coding RNA, 218 nt
Filed under: uncultured fungus
Lineage: Eukaryota; Fungi
Description: sequence contains ITS1
Source: RNAcentral